ACCUGGCUAGCUCAGUCAGUAGAGUGAUUCUUGAUCUAGGGGUUGUGAGUUCAAGUCCCACGUUGGGUG
Molecule: transfer RNA, 69 nt
Filed under: Canis lupus familiaris (dog)
Lineage: Eukaryota; Metazoa; Chordata; Mammalia; Carnivora; Canidae
Also listed under: 2 other names
Rfam family: tRNA
About the family: Transfer RNA (tRNA) molecules are approximately 80 nucleotides in length. Their secondary structure includes four short double-helical elements and three loops (D, anti-codon, and T loops). Further hydrogen bonds mediate the characteristic L-shaped molecular structure. tRNAs have two regions of fundamental functional importance: the anti-codon, which is responsible for specific mRNA codon recognition, and the 3' end, to which the tRNAs corresponding amino acid is attached (by aminoacyl-tRNA synthetases). tRNAs cope with the degeneracy of the genetic code in two manners: having more than one tRNA (with a specific anti-codon) for a particular amino acid; and 'wobble' base-pairing, i.e. permitting non-standard base-pairing at the 3rd anti-codon position.
Source: Rfam by way of RNAcentral